This 781-nucleotide ribosomal RNA is filed under the name uncultured bacterium. RNAcentral's name for it is "bacterial SSU rRNA". It matches the Rfam family "Bacterial small subunit ribosomal RNA", at positions 8 to 796 of the family's 1533-position model. The record is from RNAcentral.
AGAGUUUGAUCCUGGCUCAGAACGAACGCUGGCGGCGUGGAUAAGACAUGCAAGUUGAACGGGAUAUUGGUAGCAAUACCGAUGUCCAGUGGCGUAAGGGUGCGUAACACGUGGGUUACCUGCCGAGAAGUGGGGGAUAGCUCGCCGAAAGGCGAAUUAAUACCGCAUAGUACAUUUGUUAAAGCCGGGGCAACCUGGCGCUUCUUGAGGGGCCCGCGGCCUAUCAGCUAGUUGGUGAGGUAUCGGCUUACCAAGGCUAUGACGGGUAGCUGGUCUGAGAGGACGACCAGCCACACUGGAACUGAGACACGGUCCAGACACCUACGGGUGGCAGCAGUCGAGAAUUUUUCUCAAUGGGGGAAACCCUGAAGGAGCGACGCCGCGUGGAGGAUGAAGGUCUUCGGAUUGUAAACUCCUGUCAUUGAAGAACAAAAUACGUUAGUUAACUGCUAAUGUGUCGAUAGUAUUCGAAGAGGAAGGGACGGCUAACUCUGUGCCAGCAGCCGCGGUAAUACAGAGGUCCCAAGCGUUGUUCGGAUUCAUUGGGCGUAAAGGGAGCGUAGGUGGUCGGGUAAGUCAGAUGUCAAAUUUCGAUGCUCAACGUCGAAUCGCAUUUGAUACUGCCUGGCUAGAGGAAUUGAGAGGAGGCCGGAAUUCACGGUGUAGCAGAAAUGCGUAGAUAUCGUGAGGAAGACCAACGGCGAAAGCAGGCCUCUGGAAAUUUCCUGACACUGAGGCUCGAAGGCCAGGGGACAAACGGGAUUAGAUACCCUAGUAGUCC